RNAcentral lists this ribosomal RNA (629 nucleotides) under uncultured Bacteroides sp. RNAcentral's name for it is "bacterial SSU rRNA". It matches the Rfam family "Bacterial small subunit ribosomal RNA", at positions 89 to 715 of the family's 1533-position model. Lineage: Bacteria; Pseudomonadati; Bacteroidota; Bacteroidia; Bacteroidales; Bacteroidaceae. The record is from RNAcentral.
CGGCGACCGGCGCACGGGUGAGUAACGCGUAUCCCACCUUCCGCUUACUCGGGGAUAGCCUUUCGAAAGAAAGAUUAAUACCCGAUGGUAUCUUAAGCACGCAUGAGAUUAAGAUUAAAGAUUUAUCGGUAAGCGAUGGGGAUGCGUUCCAUUAGGCAGUUGGCGGGGUAACGGCCCACCAAACCUACGAUGGAUAGGGGUUCUGAGAGGAAGGUCCCCCACAUUGGAACUGAGACACGGUCCAAACUCCUACGGGAGGCAGCAGUGAGGAAUAUUGGUCAAUGGGCGAGAGCCUGAACCAGCCAAGUAGCGUGAAGGAUGACGGCCCUACGGGUUGUAAACUUCUUUUGUGCGGGAAUAAAGGAACCUACGUGUAGGUUUUUGCAUGUACCGUAACGAAUAAGCAUCGGCUAACUCCGUGCCAGCAGCCGCGGUAAUACGGAGGAUGCGAGCGUUAUCCGGAUUUAUUGGGUUUAAAGGGAGCGUAGACGGGUUUUUAAGUCAGCUGUGAAAGUUUGGGGCUCAACCUUAAAAUUGCAGUUGAAACUGGAGACCUUGAGUACGGUUGAGGCAGGCGGAAUUCGUGGUGUAGCGGUGAAAUGCUUAGAUAUCACGAAGAACUCCGAUUG